GGUCCCAAGGGUUGGGCUGUUCGCCCAUUAAAGCGGUACGCGAGCUGGGUUCAGAACGUCGUGAGACAGUUCGGUCCCUAUCCGUCGCGGGCGCAGGAAAUUUGAGAGGAGCUGUCCUUAGUACGAGAGGACCGGGAUGGACGCACCGCUGGUGUACCAGUUGUCUUGCCAAAGGCAUAGCUGGGUAGCUACGUGCGGACGGGAUAAGUGCUGAAAGCAUCUAAGCAUGAAGCCCCCCUCAAGAUGAGAUUUCCCAUGGCGCAAGCUAGUAAGAUCCCUGAAAGAUGAUCAGGUUGAUAGGUCAGAGGUGGAAGCGUGGCGACAUGUGGAGCUGACUGAUACUAAUAGAUCGAGGACUUAACCAAC
This 366-nucleotide ribosomal RNA is filed under the name Bacillus sp. mrc49. Its description in RNAcentral is "bacterial LSU rRNA". It matches the Rfam family "Bacterial large subunit ribosomal RNA", at positions 2561 to 2925 of the family's 2925-position model. The record is from RNAcentral. Lineage: Bacteria; Bacillati; Bacillota; Bacilli; Caryophanales; Bacillaceae.